Molecule: ribosomal RNA, 253 nt
Filed under: uncultured bacterium
Lineage: Bacteria
Description: partial 16S ribosomal RNA
Rfam family: Bacterial small subunit ribosomal RNA
Source: RNAcentral
UACGUAGGGUGCGAGCGUUAAUCGGAAUUACUGGGCGUAAAGCGUGCGCAGGCGGUUCGUUGUGUCGGUGGUGAAAGCCCCGGGCUUAACCUGGAAAUGGCCAUGGAAACUGGCGAACUGGAGUGUGGCAGAGGGGGGUGGAAUUCCGCGUGUAGCGGUGGAAUGCGUAGAUAUCCGAAAGAACACCGGUGGCGAAGGCGGUGGUCUGGGCCGAAACUGACGCUGAGGCGCGAAAGCUAGGGGAGCAAACAGG